GGGCGACCUGUGCUGAUUUAAGCAGGCUCCUGUGCUGAUUCCCUACUGCUUUCCCUGGCUCUCUAUGUCCAGUGCCUCCAGAGGAUCUCAGCGUGCAGAGGCAAAGUUGCAAUAUUUGCACUAGGAAGUACCAGAAGACCACUCUGUUGCUCAGACAGAAAACAGAAAGAUAAUGCCUGCUUCAGGAGAUCUGCAGUCUGCUCAUAGGAUGAAUGAUAUGAUGAGGCCAGAAAACACAGGCAAGGGAGCAGAUGAUACUGGCAAUGAAGUGAUUAUAAAGAGAAAGAGCCAGGAGAAGAAAAGGAAAAUUAAACCAAAUGGCACAUCCACAGAACACCAGAAGCUGAUAGCUACAGUGCACAUCCAGAGAGAAGCAACGAAGUCACGCAGGGCAUCGCAGGGGCAGCAGCAGGGCUAUGAGUAACCCCGUGGUGUUAAACCACUGCCAGGGUAAGAGUGCACACAGAGCCACACAACCUAACCAGCACCCUCUGCUUCCCACUUUCUCCUAGAUCUUUCAUUUGUUCCCCCGCUCACCAUCCCCAUGUCUAUAAAAAUAAUCAUCUCUGUAGCUAGCCAGGUUGUUAAUUAUUUACUGCAGCAGACUCCUCUGUUUUUCCCAUUUCUUGAUCUUGGUGUUUGUUCUGACUCACCGAAUUAGGUGUCUCCCUCCUGGUGCUUGCACCAUUGUACUCUUCUGUUUUCCUCCUGCCCA
Tyto alba (common barn owl) is the source of this 715-nucleotide long non-coding RNA. RefSeq lists it as uncharacterized. The record is from RefSeq and is a predicted model, not a curated record. Lineage: Eukaryota; Metazoa; Chordata; Aves; Strigiformes; Tytonidae. The transcript has 3 exons.